This is a long non-coding RNA of Myzus persicae (green peach aphid), 165 nucleotides long. RefSeq lists it as uncharacterized. The record is from RefSeq and is a predicted model, not a curated record. The transcript has 2 exons. Lineage: Eukaryota; Metazoa; Arthropoda; Insecta; Hemiptera; Aphididae.
UUGAACAGUCAGAUAUCAAUGAUUAGUCAGUGGAGGAAGAGGUCUACAAAAUAGUUGCGCUAGGCAUAAACGAUGCUCUUGUUGAUAACCAAAUUACUCCACAAGCUCACCAGCCAUUUGAUUUGGAUAACCCUAUGUUGGAAGACUAGUUUUUUAUAUUAUUAU